Molecule: ribosomal RNA, 330 nt
Filed under: uncultured eukaryote
Lineage: Eukaryota
Description: partial 18S ribosomal RNA
Rfam family: Eukaryotic small subunit ribosomal RNA
Source: RNAcentral
CCCUUAGAUGUUCGGGGCCGCACGCGCGCUUCACUGAAGGAAUCAGCACGUCUUUCUCCUUGUCCGAAAGGACUGGGUAACCCGCUGAACCUCCUUCGUGCUAGGGAUUGGGGCUUGUAAUUCUUCCCCAUGAACGAGGAAUUCCCAGUAAGCGCGAGUCAUAAGCUCGCGUUGAUUACGUCCCUGCCCUUUGUACACACCGCCCGUCGCUACUACCGAUUGGGUGGUUUAGUGAGAUCCUCGGAUUGGUCCCGGAGCGGCCUCUGGUCGUGCCGGAGUGCCGAAAAGAAUGUCGAACUUGAUCAUCUAGAGGAAGGUGAAGUCGUAACA